UUGGAGAAGAAAACGGCUUCACACAGGGGGGUUUUAUAUGUCCCCCAAAUUUGAGAGGUUUUGUUCGCCCCACUUGGGGAAUGGAACCCCGGCCCCAAAUUUCUUAGGGGGGGGCAGCCAGUAGGGAAUUUUUCCCACAAGGGACGCAAGUUUGAUGGAGCAACCCCCGCUUGAAUGAAGAAGGCUUUCGGGUCGUAAAAUUCUGUUGUUGGAGAAGAAUGGUCGGCAGAGUAACUGUUGUUGGCGUGACGGUAUCCAACCAGAAAGCCACGGCUAACUACGUGCCAGCAGCCGCGGUAAUACGUAGGUGGCAAGCGUUAUCCGGAUUUAUUGGGCGUAAAGCGAGCGCAGGCGGUUUUUUAAGUCUGAUGUGAAAGCCCUCGGCUUAACCGAGGAAGCGCAUCGGAAACUGGGAAACUUGAGUGCAGAAGAGGACAGUGGAACUCCAUGUGUAGCGGUGAAAUGCGUAGAUAUAUGGAAGAACACCAGUGGCGAAGGCGGCUGUCUGGUCUGUAACUGACGCUGAGGCUCGAAAGCAUGGGUAGCGAACAGGAUUAGAUACCCUGGUAGUCCAUGCCGUAAACGAUGAAUGCUAGGUGUUGGAGGGUUUCCGCCCUUCAGUGCCGCAGCUAACGCAUUAAGCAUUCCGCCUGGGGAGUACGACCGCAAGGUUGAAACUCAAAGGAAUUGACGGGGGCCCGCACAAGCGGUGGAGCAUGUGGUUUAAUUCGAAGCAACGCGAAGAACCUUACCAGGUCUUGACAUCUUUUGAUCACCUGAGAGAUCAGGUUUCCCCUUCGGGGGCAAAAUGACAGGUGGUGCAUGGUUGUCGUCAGCUCGUGUCGUGAGAUGUUGGGUUAAGUCCCGCAACGAGCGCAACCCUUAUGACUAGUUGCCAGCAUUUAGUUGGGCACUCUAGUAAGACUGCCGGUGACAAACCGGAGGAAGGUGGGGAUGACGUCAAAUCAUCAUGCCCCUUAUGACCUGGGCUACACACGUGCUACAAUGGAUGGUACAACGAGUUGCGAGACCGCGAGGUCAAGCUAAUCUCUUAAAGCCAUUCUCAGUUCGGACUGUAGGCUGCAACUCGCCUACACGAAGUCGGAAUCGCUAGUAAUCGCGGAUCAGCACGCCGCGGUGAAUACGUUCCCGGGCCUUGUACACACCGCCCGUCACACCAUGAGAGUUUGUAACACCCGAAGCCGGUGGCGUAACCCUUUAGGGAGCGAGCCGUCUAAGUGGACAACGUUGGA
This 1253-nucleotide ribosomal RNA is filed under the name Lacticaseibacillus paracasei. Its description in RNAcentral is "bacterial SSU rRNA". It matches the Rfam family "Bacterial small subunit ribosomal RNA", at positions 221 to 1479 of the family's 1533-position model. The record is from RNAcentral. Lineage: Bacteria; Bacillati; Bacillota; Bacilli; Lactobacillales; Lactobacillaceae.